RNAcentral lists this ribosomal RNA (467 nucleotides) under uncultured bacterium. RNAcentral describes it as "partial 16S ribosomal RNA". It matches the Rfam family "Bacterial small subunit ribosomal RNA", at positions 28 to 506 of the family's 1533-position model. The record is from RNAcentral.
GACGAACGCUGGCGGCGUGCUUAACACAUGCAAGUCGAACGGAAAGGCCCUGCUUUUGUGGGGUGCUCGAGUGGCGAACGGGUGAGUAACACGUGAGUAGCCUGCCCUUGACUUUGGGAUAACUCCAGGAAACUGGGGCUAAUACCGGAUAGGAGCUCCUGCUGCAUGGUGGGGGUUGGAAAGUUUCGGCGGUUGGGGAUGGACUCGCGGCUUAUCAGCUUGUUGGUGGGGUAGUGGCUUACCAAGGCUUUGACGGGUAGCCGGCCUGAGAGGGUGACCGGCCACAUUGGGACUGAGAUACGGCCCAGACUCCUACGGGAGGCAGCAGUGGGGAAUAUUGCACAAUGGGCGGAAGCCUGAUGCAGCAACGCCGCGUGCGGGAUGACGGCCUUCGGGUUGUAAACCGCUUUCGCCUGUGACGAAGCGUGAGUGACGGUAAUGGGUAAAGAAGCACCGGCUAACUACGU